Molecule: ribosomal RNA, 425 nt
Filed under: uncultured bacterium
Lineage: Bacteria
Description: bacterial SSU rRNA
Rfam family: Bacterial small subunit ribosomal RNA
Source: RNAcentral
GAAUAUUGGACAAUGGGGGGAACCCUGAUCCAGCCAUGCCGCGUGUGUGAAGAAGGCCUUUUGGUUGUAAAGCACUUUAAGCGAGGAGGAGGCUACUCUAGUUAAUACCUAGGGAUAGUGGAGGUUACUCGCAGAAUAAGCACCGGCUAACUCUGGCCCAGCCGCCGCGGUAAUACAGGGGGUGCAAGCGUUAAUCGGAUUUACUGGGCGUAAAGCGCGCGUAGGUGGCCAAUUAAGUCAAAUGUGAAAUCCCCGAGCUUAACUUGGGAAUUGCAUUCGAUACUGGUUGGCUAGAGUAUGGGAGAGGAUGGUAGAAUUCCAGGUGUAGCAGUGAAAUGCGUAGAGAUCUGGAGGAAUACCGAUGGCGAAGGCAGCCAUCUGGCUUAAUACUGACGCUGAGGCGCGAAAGCGUGGGGAGCAAACAG